RNAcentral lists this ribosomal RNA (243 nucleotides) under uncultured bacterium. RNAcentral's name for it is "partial 16S ribosomal RNA". It matches the Rfam family "Bacterial small subunit ribosomal RNA", at positions 88 to 334 of the family's 1533-position model. The record is from RNAcentral.
CCGGCGAGUGGCGAACGGGUGAGUAAUAUAUCGGAACGUACCGAGUAAUGGGGGAUAACCAAUCGAAAGAUUGGCUAAUACCGCAUACGUCCUAAGGGAGAAAGCGGGGGAUCGCAAGACCUCGCGUUAUUCGAGCGGCCGAUAACUGAUUAGCUAGUUGGCGGGGUAAAGGCCUACCAAGGCGACGAUCAGUAGCGGGUCUGAGAGGACGAUCCGCCACACUGGGACUGAGACACGGCCCAG